UGGGGAAUUUUGGACAAUGGGCGAAAGCCUGAUCCAGCAAUGCCGCGUGUGUGAAGAAGGCCUUCGGGUUGUAAAGCACUUUUGUCCGGAAAGAAAUCCUUGGCUCUAAUACAGUCGGGGGAUGACGGUACCGGAAGAAUAAGCACCGGCUAACUACGUGCCAGCAGCCGCGGUAAUACGUAGGGUGCAAGCGUUAAUCGGAAUUACUGGGCGUAAAGCGUGCGCAGGCGGUUUGCUAAGACCGAUGUGAAAUCCCCGGGCUCAACCUGGGGAACUGCAUUGGUGACUGGCAGGCUAGAGUAUGGCAGAGGGGGGUAGAAUUCCACGUGUAGCAGUGAAAUGCGUAGAGAUGUGGAGGAAUACCGAUGGCGAAGGCAGCCCCCUGGGCCAAUACUGACGCUCAUGCACGAAAGCGUGGGGAGCAAACAGGAUUAGAUACCCUGGUAGUCCACGCCCUAAACGAUGUCAACUAGUUGUUGGGGAUUCAUUUCCUUAGUAACGUAGCUAACGCGUGAAGUUGACCGCCUGGGGAGUACGGUCGCAAGAUUAAAACUUAAAUGAAUUGACGGGGUCAUAGCUG
RNAcentral lists this ribosomal RNA (580 nucleotides) under uncultured bacterium. RNAcentral's name for it is "partial 16S ribosomal RNA". It matches the Rfam family "Bacterial small subunit ribosomal RNA", at positions 355 to 932 of the family's 1533-position model. The record is from RNAcentral.